Non-coding RNA from Malus domestica (apple), 1309 nucleotides. The record is from RefSeq and is a predicted model, not a curated record. Lineage: Eukaryota; Viridiplantae; Streptophyta; Magnoliopsida; Rosales; Rosaceae.
UUCUCUCCGCAUUUGCUUCCUUUUGUCUCUGUAUGUUUCCCAUUAAAACCCAGCCUCUCCUCAAUUCCUCCGACUCUCCUCUCUCUCUCUCACUCCCCUUCCCAAUCGAACCGAGUCUCAACCGCAGGUUCUGUCUCUCUCUGUCUCUCUCUCUCUCUUUCCCCCCCUUCCCAAUCGAACCGAGUCUCUUCAACCCGAGGCUCUCUCUCUCUCUUUAUCUUUUUCCCAAGUUUUUCUAUUUUGCAGAUUCUAUUUCUCUCGCCUCUCCCCUUCCCAAUCAAACCGAGUCGAGUUCGCAUCUCACGCUAAAAUAGAAUUUGCAAAUCCUUCCCCUUCAAAUUUCACACACACUGCGAAUAGGUGGGUCUCAACUCAAAUCUCAAGUCGAGUUCACACAUUCUCACAGACUCUGCAAAUCAUUCUCCUUCACACACAAUUUGCAAAUCAGUCGGCCUCAACUCUCAUCUCAUCCCCAGUUCCUCUUCGGUUCAGUGUCUGCAUAAUGCGAUUCCUUCCUCUCCACUUCGUUCCAGGUAAAAUGGUGCCAUGGAUACAAGUUAGCAUGUCCCUGUCACUACUGUUAAUGGUUAUGCCUCCAGUUUUCCUUAUGGUUGUUGGAAUGGGAAGAUUCUGCACAUCAGCUUGUUAGUCUUUAAUGCUCUUGCGAUAAAGGGCGUUUCAGCUCUCUGGUGGCAGUCGAUCAGUGUUUUCCAAGAAAGAAAAUGCCAAUGCAGUUCUCCUUGUUGCAAGCCAGGUGAGACAUAUGUACAUCUAUCCUCUCAAAACCUUGCACAUUUCUUUUUCUUUCUAAAGUUUACUUUCGCUGACCACUAUGAAAUAUGUUUGCCCUCCAACUGUUGAACUUCCCAUCCUUGGUGAAAAUGUGACUUGGUCUGCGAUCUCUUGUAGGCCAAAAUGACAUUAUUUAGGAUAAUUAUCAACUUUUGUUGUUGUAAGUUGCAACUUAGUACAAAGAAGUAUCAACUUUUGUCUUGCUUAUCCACUUACUGAUGUCCAGAAUUUCAAGGAGGAUAGGGAAAAACCAUUUGAAGGAAUACUUAAAUAGAAAUGGAAGAUCUUCUCCUGAUGAUCAUCUUCAUUAAUUCGUUUAUGGAGCAGCAGAGAUUCGAUGAGGUGCAAGGCUUGCUGGGGAAGAUACAUCCAUCAAAAAAUGUCUGCUUUCAAGUUCUUUUUGCAUUAGAGAUGAAAUAUGUAACAUUACAAUAUAUGUUUGUGAAAUCGGGAAUGUAUUGUAGACUUUCUACAUUUUAUGAAAAUUAAAAAUAAAAAAAAAUAAAAAAAACCUCAA